UACGAAGGGGGCUAGCGUUGUUCGGAAUUACUGGGCGUAAAGAGUGUGUAGGCGGUGUUCCCAGUCUGUUGUGAAAUCUCCCGGCUUAACUGGGAGGGUGCAGCGGAAACUAGAAUGCUAGAGGGUGGGAGAGGUAAGCGGAAUUCCUGGUGUAGCGGUGAAAUGCGUAGAUAUCAGGAGGAACACCUGUGGUGUAGACAGCUUACUGGACCACUUCUGACGCUGAUGCGCGAAAGCUAGGGGAGCAAACAGG
This 253-nucleotide ribosomal RNA is filed under the name uncultured bacterium. RNAcentral's name for it is "partial 16S ribosomal RNA". It matches the Rfam family "Bacterial small subunit ribosomal RNA", at positions 524 to 776 of the family's 1533-position model. The record is from RNAcentral.